This 329-nucleotide ribosomal RNA is filed under the name uncultured eukaryote. Its description in RNAcentral is "partial 18S ribosomal RNA". It matches the Rfam family "Eukaryotic small subunit ribosomal RNA", at positions 1470 to 1796 of the family's 1831-position model. The record is from RNAcentral.
CCCUUAGAUGUUCUGGGCCGCACGCGCGCUACACUGAUGCAUUCAACGAGUCUAAAACCUGGUCUGAUAGGGCUGGGUAAUCUUUUGAAUGUGCAUCGUGAUUGGGAUAGAUGAUUGCAAUUUUUCAUCUUCAACGAGGAAUGCCUAGUAAACGCAAGUCAUCAGCUUGCAUUGAUUACGUCCCUGCCCUUUGUACACACCGCCCGUCGCUCCUACCGAUUGAAUGAUCCGAUGAAUAUCAUGGAUUGAGGAUUAUAGCAGGUUCGCCUGUCUUGAUCUUCGAGAAGUGAAGUAAAUCUUAUCAUUUAGAGGAAGGAGAAGUCGUAACA